AACUUAAAGGAAUUGACGGGGGAGCACCACAACGGGUGGAGCUUGCGGUUUAAUUGGAUUCAACGCCGGAAAUCUUACCGGGACCGACAGCAAUAUGAAGGCCAGGCUGAAGACUUUGCCGGAUUAGCUGAGAGGUGGUGCAUGGCCGUCGUCAGUUCGUACUGUGAAGCAUCCUGUUAAGUCAGGCAACGAGCGAGACCCACGCCCACAGUUGCCAGCGUACUCUCCGGAGUGACGGGUACACUGUGGGGACCGCCGCUGCUAAAGCGGAGGAAGGAAUGGGCAACGGUAGGUCAGUAUGCCCCGAAUAUCCCGGGCUACACGCGAGCUACAAUGGUUGGUACAAUGGGUAUCUACCCCGAAAGGGGACGGGAAUCCCCUAAAACCAAUCUUAGUUCGGAUUGAGGGCUGCAACUCGCCCUCAUGAAGCUGGAAUCCGUAGUAAUCGCGUUUCAACAGAACGCGGUGAAUACGUCCCUGCUCCUU
Molecule: ribosomal RNA, 486 nt
Filed under: uncultured Methanosaeta sp.
Lineage: Archaea; Methanobacteriati; Methanobacteriota; Methanomicrobia; Methanotrichales; Methanotrichaceae
Description: bacterial SSU rRNA
Rfam family: Archaeal small subunit ribosomal RNA
Source: RNAcentral